This is a non-coding RNA of Pelobates cultripes (western spadefoot toad), 201 nucleotides long. The record is from the annotation of a GenBank genome assembly. Lineage: Eukaryota; Metazoa; Chordata; Amphibia; Anura; Pelobatidae.
AGUGAUUAUAGCAAGGGACUAUGCUGAGCAUAGCAAUCCCUUGUAGCAGUUUCCCCCAAUAAGCGACAGGACUCAGAUUGAGGGUGAAGUAGAACUGACUGUACUGGCACAUACAGCCUCUUUUAUUCACAAUCCACAAACAUAGUACUGCCCACAGGGUUUUGAAAUACAACCAAAUAAUCUGUACAAUACACACAGACA